This 447-nucleotide ribosomal RNA is filed under the name uncultured bacterium. RNAcentral describes it as "bacterial SSU rRNA". It matches the Rfam family "Bacterial small subunit ribosomal RNA", at positions 355 to 825 of the family's 1533-position model. The record is from RNAcentral.
UCGGGAAUUUUGGGCAAUGGGCGAAAGCCUGACCCAGCAACGCCGCGUGAAGGAUGAAGUAUUUCGGUAUGUAAACUUCGUAAGAAUAGGAAGAAUAAAUGACGGUACUAUUUGUAAGGUCCGGCUAACUACGUGCCAGCAGCCGCGGUAAUACGUAGGGACCAAGCGUUGUUCGGAUUUACUGGGCGUAAAGGGCGCGUAGGCGGUGUGUCAAGUCAGUUGUGAAAUCUCCGAGCUUAACUCGGAACGGUCAGAUGAUACUGCUUUGCUAGAGUGCAGAAGGGGCAAUCGGAAUUCUUGGUGUAGCGGUGAAAUGCGUAGAUAUCAGGAGGAACACCAAUGGCGAAGGCAGGUUCCUGGGCCAGCACUGACGCUCAUGCACGAAAGCGUGGGGAGCAAACAGGAUUAGAUACCCAUGUAGUCCCUGAGCGGGCUGGCAAGGCGCAU